This 302-nucleotide ribosomal RNA is filed under the name uncultured bacterium. Its description in RNAcentral is "partial 16S ribosomal RNA". It matches the Rfam family "Bacterial small subunit ribosomal RNA", at positions 508 to 809 of the family's 1533-position model. The record is from RNAcentral.
GCAGUCGCCGCGGGAAUACGUAGGUGGCAAGCGUUGUCCGGAAUUAUUGGGCGUAAAGGGCUCGCAGGCGGUUUCUUAAGUCUGAUGUGAAAGCCCCCGGCUCAACCGGGGAGGGUCAUUGGAAACUGGGAAACUUGAGUGCAGAAGAGGAGAGUGGAAUCCCACGUGUAGCGGUGAAAUGCGUAGAGAUGUGGAGGAACACCAGUGGCGAAGGCGACUCUCUGGUCUGUAACUGACGCUGAGGAGCGAAAGCGUGGGGAGCGAACAGGAUUAGAUACCCCAGUAGUCCCUGUCUCUUAUAA